RNAcentral lists this ribosomal RNA (1295 nucleotides) under metagenome. RNAcentral describes it as "bacterial LSU rRNA". It matches the Rfam family "Bacterial large subunit ribosomal RNA", at positions 1647 to 2925 of the family's 2925-position model. The record is from RNAcentral.
CCAAAAACUGACACAGGUAGGCGAGCAGAGUAUGCUCAGGCGUUGAGAUAAUUAUCAUUAAGGAACUCGGCAAAUUGACCCCGUAACUUCGGGAUAAGGGGUGCCUAUGAUGUUAUUAAAGUUUACUUUAAGAAGCAUCGUUAGGUUACAACAAAGAGGCCCAACCGACUGUUUAACAAAAACACAGGGCUCUGCAAACUCGUAAGAGGAAGUAUAGAGUCUGACGCCUGCCCAGUGCUGGGAUGUUAAUAGGAGAGGUCAACUCGUAAGGGUGAAGCCUUGAAUUGAAGCACCAGUAAACGGCGGCCGUAACUAUAACGGUCCUAAGGUAGCGAAGUCCCUUGUCAGGUAAGUUCUGACCCGCAUGAAUGGCGUAACGAGUUGGGCACUGUCUUAAUGAUAAACUCAGUGAAUUUGUAGUACCGGUGAAAAUGCCGGUUACCCGCGAAAGGACGGAAAGACCCCGUGCACCUUUACUAUAGCUUGACGUUGAUUUUUGGAUUGGUUUGUGUAGGAUAGGCGGGAGACUGUGAUGUUGCGGCGCUAGCUGCAGCGGAGUCAACCUUGAAAUACCGCCCUUAGCAAUUUGAAGAUCUAACCCUGUUCCGUAAUCCGGGCAGGAGACAAUGUCUGGUGGGUAGUUUGACUGGGGUGGUCGCCUCCCAAAAUGUAACGGAGGCGUUCAAAGGUUCCCUCAAGACGAAUAGAAAUCGUCGGUAGAGCGUAAAGGCAGAAGGGAGCUUAACUGCAAGACAAACAAGUCGAGCAGAUGCGAAAGCAGGACUUAGUGAUCCAGUGGUACCGUAUGGAAGGGCCAUUGCUAAACGGAUAAAAGGUACGCCGGGGAUAACAGGCUGAUCUCCUCUAAGAGUCCACAUCGACGAGGAGGUUUGGCACCUCGAUGUCGGAUCUUCACAUCCUGGGGCUGAAGAAGGUCCCAAGGGUUUGGCUGUUCGCCAAUUAAAGUGGAACGUGAUCUGGGUUCAGAACGUCGUAAGACAGUUCGGUCCUUAUCCUUCGUGGGCGCAGGGUAUUUGAGGAGGGCUGUCCCUAGUACGAGAGGACCGGGAUGGGUAAGCCUCUGGUGUUCCAGUUGUUCACCAAGAGCAGCGCUGGGUAGCUAAGCUUACUAGAGAUAACCGCUGGAAGCAUCUAAGUGGGAAACUCGCUCCAAGAUAAGAUACCCCGACGAAAGUCAUAAGAUCCCUUGAAGACUACAAGGUUGAUAGGCUGGGUGUGUAAGCACAGUAAUGUGUUCAGCUAACCAGUACUAAUAGAUCGAAUGUUUUGAUCAC